Molecule: ribosomal RNA, 78 nt
Filed under: Ligilactobacillus agilis
Lineage: Bacteria; Bacillati; Bacillota; Bacilli; Lactobacillales; Lactobacillaceae
Description: partial 16S ribosomal RNA
Rfam family: Bacterial small subunit ribosomal RNA (bases 1-70)
Source: RNAcentral
GGGACAGAUGAUUGGGGUGAAGUCGUAACAAGGUAGCCGUAGGAGAACCUGCGGCUGGAUCACCUCCUUUCUAAGGAA